CCUACGGGAGGCAGCAGUGAGGAAUAUUGGUCAAUGGACGAGAGUCUGAACCAGCCAAGUAGCGUGAAGGAUGACUGCCCUAUGGGUUGUAAACUUCUUUUAUAUGGGAAUAAAAUGUUCCACGUGUGGCAUUUUGUAUGUAUCACAUGAAUAAGGAUCGGCUAACUCCGUGUCAGCAGCCGCGGUAAUACGGAGGAUCCGAGCGUUAUCCGGGUUUAUUGGGUUUAAAGGGAGCGUAGGUGGGUUUUUAAGUCAGUUGUGAAAGUUUGCGGCUCAACCGUAGAAUUGAAGUUGAAACUGGAAGCCUUGAGUACAGAAAGGGAGGGCGGAAUUCGUGGUGUAGCGGUGAAAUGCUUAGAUAUCACGAAGAACUCCGAUUGCGAAGGCAAGUCUCUGGACUGCAACUGACGCUGAGGCUCGAAAGUGUGGGUAUCAAACAGGAUUAGAUACCCUAGUAGUC
This 460-nucleotide ribosomal RNA is filed under the name uncultured bacterium. RNAcentral describes it as "partial 16S ribosomal RNA". It matches the Rfam family "Bacterial small subunit ribosomal RNA", at positions 338 to 795 of the family's 1533-position model. The record is from RNAcentral.